RNAcentral lists this ribosomal RNA (1045 nucleotides) under Serratia marcescens. RNAcentral's name for it is "partial 23S ribosomal RNA". It matches the Rfam family "Bacterial large subunit ribosomal RNA", at positions 1760 to 2802 of the family's 2925-position model. Lineage: Bacteria; Pseudomonadati; Pseudomonadota; Gammaproteobacteria; Enterobacterales; Yersiniaceae. The record is from RNAcentral.
GAUGGAGCUGAAGCCAGUCGAAGAUACCAGCUGGCUGCAACUGUUUAAUAAAAACACAGCACUGUGCAAACACGAAAGUGGACGUAUACGGUGUGACGCCUGCCCGGUGCUGGAAGGUUAAUUGAUGGGGUCAGCCGCAAGGCGAAGCUCUUGAUCGAAGCCCCAGUAAACGGCGGCCGUAACUAUAACGGUCCUAAGGUAGCGAAAUUCCUUGUCGGGUAAGUUCCGACCUGCACGAAUGGCGUAAUGAUGGCCAGGCUGUCUCCACCCGAGACUCAGUGAAAUUGAACUCGCUGUGAAGAUGCAGUGUACCCGCGGCAAGACGGAAAGACCCCGUGAACCUUUACUAUAGCUUGACACUGAACAUUGAGCCUUGAUGUGUAGGAUAGGUGGGAGGCUUUGAAGCGUGGACGCCAGUCUGCGUGGAGCCAUCCUUGAAAUACCACCCUUUAAUGUUUGAUGUUCUAACUCGGCCCCAUAAUCUGGGGUGAGGACAGUGUCUGGUGGGUAGUUUGACUGGGGCGGUCUCCUCCCAAAGAGUAACGGAGGAGCACGAAGGUUAGCUAAUCACGGUCGGACAUCGUGAGGUUAGUGCAAAGGCAUAAGCUAGCUUGACUGCGAGAGUGACGGCUCGAGCAGGUACGAAAGUAGGUCUUAGUGAUCCGGUGGUUCUGAAUGGAAGGGCCAUCGCUCAACGGAUAAAAGGUACUCCGGGGAUAACAGGCUGAUACCGCCCAAGAGUUCAUAUCGACGGCGGUGUUUGGCACCUCGAUGUCGGCUCAUCACAUCCUGGGGCUGAAGUAGGUCCCAAGGGUAUGGCUGUUCGCCAUUUAAAGUGGUACGCGAGCUGGGUUUAGAACGUCGUGAGACAGUUCGGUCCCUAUCUGCCGUGGGCGUUGGAAGAUUGAGAGGGGUUGCUCCUAGUACGAGAGGACCGGAGUGAACGCACCACUGGUGUUCGGGUUGUCAUGCCAAUGGCAUUGCCCGGUAGCUAAGUGCGGAAAAGAUAAGCGCUGAAAGCAUCUAAGCGCGAAACUUGCCUCAA